UAUCAUCUAGCUUAGAGGUAAAGCGUCAACCUUUUAAGUUGAAGUUCCGAGUUCAAGUCUUCGGGGUGGUA
Molecule: transfer RNA, 71 nt
Filed under: Paramecium tetraurelia
Lineage: Eukaryota; Ciliophora; Oligohymenophorea; Peniculida; Parameciidae
Rfam family: tRNA
About the family: Transfer RNA (tRNA) molecules are approximately 80 nucleotides in length. Their secondary structure includes four short double-helical elements and three loops (D, anti-codon, and T loops).
Source: Rfam by way of RNAcentral